GGCUAACCUGCCCUUGGGACGAGAACAACCCCGGGAAACUGGGGCUAACUCUCGAUAGGCGAAGAACUCUGGAAUGAGUCUUCACCCAAAAAGUUUAAGGUUAUGCUCUUUAAACCGCCCAAGGAUGGGGCCGCGACCGAUCAGGUUGUUGGUGAGGUAAUGGCUCACCAAGCCUUUUACCGGUGCGGGCCGUGGGAGCGGGAGCCCGGAGAUGGGCACUGAGACAAGGGCCCAGGCCCUACGGGGCGCAGCAGUCGCGAAAACUUUGCAAUAAGCGAAAGCUUGACAGGGCUAUCCCGAGUGCCAUCCGCUGAGGAAGGCUUUUACCCAGUCUAGAACGCUGGGGGAAUAAGGAGAGGGCAAGUCUGGUGUCAGCCGCCGCGGUAAUACCAGCUCUCCGAGUGGUGUGGAUGUUUAUUGGGCCUAAAGCAUCCGUAGCUGGCUAGGUUAGUCCCCUGUUAAAUCCACCGAAUUAAUCGUUGGAUUGCGGGGGAUACUACUUGGCUAGGGGACGAGAGAGGCAGACGGUAUUUCCGGGGUAGGGGUGAAAUCCUAUAAUCCCGGGAAGACCACCAGUGGCGAAGGCUGUCUGCUAGAACGCGCCCGACGGUGAGGGAUGAAAGCUGGGGGAGCGAACCGGAUUAGAUACCCGGGUAGUCCCAGCUGUAAACGAUGCAGACUAGGUGUUUGGACGGCCACGUGCCGUUCUAGUGCCGCAGGGAAGCUGUUAAGUCUGCCGCCUGGGGAGUACGAUCGCAAGAUUGAAACU
This 769-nucleotide ribosomal RNA is filed under the name uncultured archaeon. Its description in RNAcentral is "bacterial SSU rRNA". It matches the Rfam family "Archaeal small subunit ribosomal RNA", at positions 102 to 856 of the family's 1478-position model. The record is from RNAcentral.